Molecule: ribosomal RNA, 593 nt
Filed under: Protostelium mycophagum
Lineage: Eukaryota; Evosea; Variosea; Protosteliida; Protosteliaceae
Description: partial 18S ribosomal RNA
Rfam family: Eukaryotic small subunit ribosomal RNA
Source: RNAcentral
GGUGGAUUGAUUUGUCUGCUUAAUUGCGAUAACGAACGAGACCUUACUCUGCUAAAUAGUACCGGGUUAACAUUUUAUGGUGGAGAGCUGAUUUUUGAGAACGGCAAGUAAUUGCUAGUUGCGGGUCAGAAGGACGCUUUUGUUAAACACGGAGACUUCUUAGAGAAACUAAUAUUCAAAAAAAUAGAGGAAGAAAGGCAAUAACAGGUCUGUGAUGCCCUUAGAUGUUCUGGGCCGCACGCGCGCUACAAUGUAUUGUAUAAAGUGUGUUCUGAUAAAGAUCCACUUUGCAGGAAUGCCGGGUAAAACUGGAUUCCUAUUCGUAACCGGAAUAGAUGUUUGUAAUUAUUUGUCUUGAACGAGGAAUUUCUAGUAGUCGUGGUUCACUAAACCACGUCGAUUACGUCCCUGCCCUUUGUACACACCGCCCGUCGCUUCUACCGAUUGAAUACUCCGGUGAAAUCGCCGGAUAAUUGUCCGUCAGGGGGGCGACCCCCAGACGGUCCGUUAAAAGACGAGUAAACCAUAGUAUUUAGAGGAAGAAGAAGUCGUAACAAGGUCUCCGUAGGUGAACCUGCGGAGGGAUCAUUACU